This 1370-nucleotide ribosomal RNA is filed under the name metagenome. RNAcentral's name for it is "bacterial LSU rRNA". It matches the Rfam family "Bacterial large subunit ribosomal RNA", at positions 1536 to 2925 of the family's 2925-position model. The record is from RNAcentral.
AAAAAAACCGUGUGGCAAUGGGAAGACGUGAUGCGGAGUGAAGUUUAGUAAUGAAGUCCGUGAGCUGUGCGUCAAGAAAAGCCGCUAUUGUUCAUACCAUACCCGUACCGUAAACCGACACAGGUGGAUGAGGAGAGAAUCCUAAGGCCGGCGGAAGAAGCAUUGUCAAGGAACUCGGCAAAAUGACCCCGUAACUUCGGGAGAAGGGGUGCCUGAGAGAGCAGGCCGCAGAGAAUAGGCUCAAGCAACUGUUUAGCAAAAACACAGGUCUAUGCGAAACCGAAAGGUGAGGUAUAUGGGCUGACGCCUGCCCGGUGCUGGAAGGGUAAGAGGAGAGGUUAGCGCAAGCGAAGCUUUGAAUUUAAGCCCCAGUAAACGGCGGCCGUAACCAUAACGGUCCUAAGGUAGCGAAAUUCCUUGUCGGGUAAGUUCCGACCCGCACGAAAGGCGUAAUGAUUUGAGCGCUGUCUCGACAAUGCAUCCGGUGAAAUUGAAGUACCAGUGAAGAUGCUGGUUACCUGCGCCAGGACGGAAAGACCCCAUGGAGCUUUACUCCAGUUUGGUACUGGGAUCCGGUACUGCAUGUACAGGAUAGGUGGGAGGCUGAGAAUCGGUAACGCCAGUUGCCGAGGAGCCGCUGUUGGGAUACCACCCUUGCAGUAUUGGGUUUCUAACCAGCCGCCGUGACCCGGCGGUGGGACAAUGCCAGACGGGGAGUUUGACUGGGGCGGUCGCCUCCGAAAGGGUAUCGGAGGCGCCCAAAGGUUCCCUCAGGAUGGACGGAAACCAUCCAAAGAGUGCAAAGGCAGAAGGGAGCUUGACUGCGACACCGACGGGUGGAGCAGGUACGAAAGUAGGGCUUAGUGAUCCGGUGGUAUUAAGUGGGAAUGCCAUCGCUCAACGGAUAAAAGCUACCCUGGGGAUAACAGGCUUAUCACUCCCAAGAGUUCACAUCGACGGAGUGGUUUGGCACCUCGAUGUCGGCUCAUCGCAUCCUGGGGCUGUAGUAGGUCCCAAGGGUUGGGCUGUUCGCCCAUUAAAGCGGUACGCGAGCUGGGUUCAGAACGUCGUGAGACAGUUCGGUCCCUAUCCGGCGUGGGCGUAGGAUAUCUGAGAGGAGCUGUCCUUAGUACGAGAGGACCGGGAUGGACGGGCCGCUGGUGCACCGGUUAGACUGCCAAGUCUAUAGCCGGGUAGCCAAGCCCGGAAGGGAUAAACGCUGAAGGCAUCUAAGCGUGAAGCCCCCCUCAAGAUGAGAUAUCCCAUCCGAAAGGAGUAAACCCCCUUGAAGACGACGAGGUCGAUAGGGCAGAGGUGGAAGUGUGGUAACACAUGGAGCUGACUGCUACUAAUAGGGUGAGGGCUUGACC